This 108-nucleotide ribosomal RNA is filed under the name Flavobacteriaceae bacterium. RNAcentral describes it as "partial 16S ribosomal RNA". It matches the Rfam family "Bacterial small subunit ribosomal RNA", at positions 1 to 98 of the family's 1533-position model. Lineage: Bacteria; Pseudomonadati; Bacteroidota; Flavobacteriia; Flavobacteriales; Flavobacteriaceae. The record is from RNAcentral.
AAACAACGAUGAAGAGUUUGAUCCUGGCUCAGGAUGAACGCUAGCGGCAGGCUUAACACAUGCAAGUCGAGGGGUAACAGGGAGUGCUUGCACUUUGCUGACGACCGG